GACGAACGCUGGCGGCGUGCUUAACACAUGCAAGUCGAGCGGUAAGGCCUUUCGGGGUACACGAGCGGCGAACGGGUGAGUAACACGUGGGUGAUCUGCCCUGCACUUCGGGAUAAGCCUGGGAAACUGGGUCUAAUACCGGGUAUGACCUCCUAUCGCAUGGUGGGUGGUGGAAAGAUUUAUCGGUGCAGGAUGGGCCCGCGGCCUAUCAGCUUGUUGGUGGGGUAAUGGCCUACCAAGGCGACGACGGGUAGCCGACCUGAGAGGGUGACCGGCCACACUGGGACUGAGACACGGCCCAGACUCCUACGGGAGGCAGCAGUGGGGAAUAUUGCACAAUGGGCUAAAGCCUGAUGCAGCGACGCCGCGUGAGGGAUGACGGCCUUCGGGUUGUAAACCUCUUUCAGCAGGGACGAAGCGCAAGUGACGGUACCUGCAGAAGAAGCACCGGCUAACUACGUG
RNAcentral lists this ribosomal RNA (462 nucleotides) under uncultured bacterium. RNAcentral describes it as "partial 16S ribosomal RNA". It matches the Rfam family "Bacterial small subunit ribosomal RNA", at positions 28 to 507 of the family's 1533-position model. The record is from RNAcentral.